Gymnogyps californianus (California condor) is the source of this 303-nucleotide long non-coding RNA. RefSeq lists it as uncharacterized. The transcript has 3 exons. The record is from RefSeq and is a predicted model, not a curated record. Lineage: Eukaryota; Metazoa; Chordata; Aves; Accipitriformes; Cathartidae.
CUGCCUUCUCCUCUCUGAUGGAAAACCAUUGUUUCGCAAGUUUCUGGAGCUUUUUUCAAAUUGGUUACCAGUCGUGACCCGAGUGGAGAUGUUUAAAAAGAGUUCGCUGCCUCAAGAGCAGACUUCCAUUACCACAGGCUCGUCUGGGACGAAGCUCAUAGCAGCAGAAAGCCAAGGCAUUUCUGUUUUCGGUCCUCACUGCUUCAAUCAAAUUUUGCUUUGACUUUGUCAUUUUCGGACUGAAGGAGUCAGUACUUAGGAUCAAGGUCAAGACUUCUUUGAUGAGAAAAGCCAGGAGCAAGG